UACGUAGGGUGCAAGCGUUGUCCGGAAUUAUUGGGCGUAAAGAGCUCGUAGGCGGCUUGUCGCGUCGACUGUGAAAACCCGCGGCUCAACCGCGGGCCUGCAGCCGAUACGGGCAGGCUAGAGUUCGGUAGGGGAGACUGGAAUUCCUGGUGUAGCGGUGAAAUGCGCAGAUAUCAGGAGGAACACCGAUGGCGAAGGCGGCCAGCUGGGCCGUCCCUGACGCUGAGGCGCGAAGGCGUGGGGAGCGAACGGG
This 253-nucleotide ribosomal RNA is filed under the name uncultured bacterium. Its description in RNAcentral is "partial 16S ribosomal RNA". It matches the Rfam family "Bacterial small subunit ribosomal RNA", at positions 524 to 776 of the family's 1533-position model. The record is from RNAcentral.